RNAcentral lists this ribosomal RNA (270 nucleotides) under uncultured archaeon. RNAcentral's name for it is "partial 16S ribosomal RNA". It matches the Rfam family "Archaeal small subunit ribosomal RNA", at positions 477 to 747 of the family's 1478-position model. The record is from RNAcentral.
CUGCAGCCCGAGUGGUGAUCGAUUUUAUUGGGCCUAAAGCGUCCGUAGCCGGUCUAGUAAAUCCUUGGAUAAAUCGUACAGCUUAACUGUACGGCUCCCGGGGAGACUGCUAGACUUGGGACUGGGAGAGGUCGGAGGUACUCCAGGGGUAGGGGUGAAAUCUUGUAAUCCUUGGGGGACCACCAGUGGCGAAGGCGUCCGACUAGAACGGGUCCGACGGUAAGGGACGAAGCCCUGGGGCGCGAACCGGAUUAGAUACCCGAGUAGUCC